This 405-nucleotide ribosomal RNA is filed under the name Rhipicephalus sp. RNAcentral's name for it is "SSU rRNA". It matches the Rfam family "Eukaryotic small subunit ribosomal RNA", at positions 1 to 401 of the family's 1831-position model. Lineage: Eukaryota; Metazoa; Arthropoda; Arachnida; Ixodida; Ixodidae. The record is from RNAcentral.
UCUGGUUGAUCCUGCCAGUAAUCAUAUGCUUGUCUCAAAGAUUAAGCCAUGCAUGUCUAAGUACAUGCCGAAAUAAGGCGAAACCGCGAAUGGCUCAUUAAAUCAGUUAUGGUUCCUUAGAUCGGUUCUUCCUACUUGGAUAACUGUGGCAAUUCUAGAGCUAAUACAUGCAGUGAGCCUGGAGCCCUUUGGGUAACGGGUGCUUUUAUUAGACCAAGAUCGAUCGGGUUUCGGCCCGUAUUGUGUGGUGACUCUGGAUAACUUUGUGCUGAUCGCAUGGCCACGAGCCGGCGACGUUUCUUUCAAGUGUCUGCCUUAUCAACUUUCGAUGGUAGGUUACUUGCUUACCAUGGUUGUUACGGGUAACGGAGAAUCAGGGUUCGAUUCCGGAGAAGGAGCCUGAGA